Molecule: ribosomal RNA, 441 nt
Filed under: uncultured bacterium
Lineage: Bacteria
Description: bacterial SSU rRNA
Rfam family: Bacterial small subunit ribosomal RNA
Source: RNAcentral
AUUGAACGCUGGCGGUAGGCCUAACACAUGCAAGUCGAACGCGAAAGUCCUUCGGGAGUGAAUAGAGUGGCGGACGGGUGGAGUAACGCGUAGGAAUCUAUCCUGUAGUGGGGGAGUAACGUUUCGUAAAGGGACGCUAAUACCGCAUACGCCCCAACGGGGGAAAGGACGGGGGAGUCUUCGGACCUCGUGCUAUAGGAGGAGCCUGCGUCGGAUUAGCUAGUUGGUGAGGUAAAGGCUCACCAAGGCGACGAUCCGUAGCUGGUCUGAGAGGAUGAUCAGCCACACCGGAACUGAGACACGGUCCGGACUCCUACGGGAGGCAGCAGUGGGGGAAUAUUGCGCAAUGGGCGAAAGCCUGACGCAGCCAUACCGCGUGCGUGAAGAAGGCCUCGGUUGUAAGACUCUUUAGUCCGACUGAUUAUAAUAGACUGUAGUCGG